RNAcentral lists this ribosomal RNA (464 nucleotides) under uncultured bacterium. RNAcentral's name for it is "partial 16S ribosomal RNA". It matches the Rfam family "Bacterial small subunit ribosomal RNA", at positions 29 to 507 of the family's 1533-position model. The record is from RNAcentral.
ACGAACGCUGGCGGCGUGCUUAACACAUGCCAGUCGAACGGAAAGGCCCUGCUUGCAGGGUACUCGAGUGGCGAACGGGUGAGUAACACGUGGGUGAUCUGCCCUGCACUUCGGGAUAAGCCUGGGAAACGGGGUCUAAUACCGGAUAGGAGCCAUUUUUAGUGUGAUGGUUGGAAAGUUUUUUCGGUGUAGGAUGAGCUCGCGGCCUAUCAGCUUGUUGGUGGGGUAAUGGCCUACCAAGGCGGCGACGGGUAGCCGGCCUGAGAGGGUGGACGGCCACAUUGGGACUGAGAUACGGCCCAGACUCCUACGGGAGGCAGCAGUGGGGAAUAUUGCACAAUGGGCGCAAGCCUGAUGCAGCGACGCCGCGUGGGGGAUGACGGCCUUCGGGUUGUAAACUCCUUUCGCUAGGGACGAAGCUUUUUGUGACGGUACCUAGAUAAGAAGCACCGGCUAACUACGUG